AUACGGGAGGCAGCAGUAGGGAAUUUUCGGCAAUGGGGGCAACCCUGACCGAGCAACGCCGCGUGAGUGAAGACGGCCUUCGGGUUGUAAAGCUCUGUUGUAAGGGAAGAACGGUAGAUAGAGAAUAUCUAAGUGACGGUACCUUACCAGAAAGCCACGGCUAACUACGUGCCAGCAGCCGCGGUAAUACGUAGGUGGCGAGCGUUAUCCGGAAUUAUUGGGCGUAAAGGGUGCGUAGGCGGCCUGUUAAGUAAGUGGUUAAAUUGUUGGGCUCAACCCAAUCCAGCCACUUAAACUGGCAGGCUAGAGUAUUGGAGAGGCAAGUGGAAUUCCAUGUGUAGCGGUAAAAUGCGUAGAUAUAUGGAGGAACACCAGUGGCGAAGGCGGCUUGCUAGCCAAAGACUGACGCUCAUGCACGAAAGCGUGGGGAGCAAAUAGGAUUAGAUACCCUAGUAGUCCACGCCGUAAACGAUGAAUACUAAGUAUUGGGGAAACUCAGUGCUGCAGCUAACGCAAUAAGUAUUCCGCCUGUGGAGUAUGCACGCAAGUGUGAAACAUAAAGGAAUUGACGGGGCCCGCACAAG
RNAcentral lists this ribosomal RNA (584 nucleotides) under uncultured bacterium. RNAcentral's name for it is "bacterial SSU rRNA". It matches the Rfam family "Bacterial small subunit ribosomal RNA", at positions 339 to 929 of the family's 1533-position model. The record is from RNAcentral.